Molecule: non-coding RNA, 287 nt
Organism: Pelobates cultripes (western spadefoot toad)
Lineage: Eukaryota; Metazoa; Chordata; Amphibia; Anura; Pelobatidae
Source: the annotation of a GenBank genome assembly
CUUUUGUUCUAACUGACACUGGACGUCCUUGUGCAUUGCAGUAAGCCAUCCAGCGUCAGUUAAUUCCCCGUAGUAGAGCAUUGCACCAAUGCUUUCCUGUGGGUUCCCCGUAGUAGAGCAUUGCACCAAUGCUUUCUUGUGGGGUCCAAAUGCGGUCGCCGUACAUGCGCACCCCCCGUGGGUGAUGUCAGUAGUCACAUUCACCAUUCAAACGCCAAACUGCUUGCAUUGACACCAAAUACUAAAAGGAAGCGUGUGGGGUGUUGCAUUGAGGAAACUGGCCUAGG